GAUGAACGCUGGCGGCGUGCCUAAUACAUGCAAGUCGAACGGAAAGGCGCUGCGCUUGUUGCGUGCUCGAGUGGCGAAGGGGUGAGUAACACGUGAGUAACCCGCCCCUGUCAGUCUGAUAACUUCUCGAAACAGGGGCUCAUAUAGCAUAGGAGCUCCUGCUCCAUGGUGUGGGUUGGAAAGUUUCGGCGGUUGGGGAUGGACUGGAGGCUUAUCAGCCUGUUGGUGGGGUAGUGGCUGACCAAGCCUUCGACGGCUAGCCGACCUGAGAGGGUGAACGGCCACCAGGGGACUAAGGUACGGCCCAGACGCCUACGGGAGGCAGCGGGGGGAAGCAUGACACAAUAAGGGGGAGCCAGAGGCAACAGCCUCCCGUGCGGAAUACCCUGCUACUGGUUAUAAACCACUUUCGACGUAAACGAGGACUGAGUGACGGUAACGGGUAAAAAAGCACCGGCUAACUACGUG
RNAcentral lists this ribosomal RNA (468 nucleotides) under uncultured bacterium. RNAcentral's name for it is "partial 16S ribosomal RNA". It matches the Rfam family "Bacterial small subunit ribosomal RNA", at positions 28 to 507 of the family's 1533-position model. The record is from RNAcentral.